This 606-nucleotide long non-coding RNA is filed under the name Triticum aestivum (bread wheat). RNAcentral describes it as "long non-coding RNA (TAES_LNC021686)". The record is from RNAcentral. Lineage: Eukaryota; Viridiplantae; Streptophyta; Magnoliopsida; Poales; Poaceae.
UAGUAGCAGAUAUGUUAUAUCUUUAGUGGGCAAAAUCACUAAAUUUUUAGAAUGCGCAGCCAUGAAGUAGAAGCUUUGAUCGGAGCUGAAAUUCGGUUUUGCCAACUGUAGAGUGAGUGCAGAUAUUGCUGUUGCCGAUGUCCUGUACCCACUGAGCAAAUUCAGAUAGUUUCGUAUAGUGCAUCGCAUCCAUUGCAUUUAGAUCAAUUAAAGGGAAAAAAAGUCGUGGCAUAAAACCGUAAACUAAUGCACACAAGCAUCUCAUUAUACUAUCAUAAUAUGUAAUUCUCAGCUAGAAUUGACAUACAUGGCCAAACUUUUUCAGAUUGUGACAUCAUUUUUUCAUGUACCCAAGACUGGAAAGAACAGAAAAGGAACUUUCGAAAAGCUACUUACAGCAAUAACUUUGUUCUCUGAAAUGUUGGUUAGUACUAAAAACAAGAAGGCACCGUUGUCAUUGUUUGUCUAGAACAGCUGUACAUAGGAACUUAUCAAUCUGAAGCUUGUAUGCUGAACUCACCGAUUGCAAGGAAGAGGGAGAAGCUGAUGGAGGCAGGGCUACAGGAAACUGCUAUUGCGCGGCACAGACAGGGAGAAUAAUGAUAC